Molecule: long non-coding RNA, 3514 nt
Organism: Oncorhynchus keta (chum salmon)
Lineage: Eukaryota; Metazoa; Chordata; Actinopteri; Salmoniformes; Salmonidae
Exons: 3
Source: RefSeq, a predicted model, not a curated record
ACCACUGCUCUUAUAGUGGUUCAUCUUGACCCGUUCCGUCAGUUUGGCGUGGAGGCCAAUGCUUCGGAUGUCGGAUUGGUGGCUGUUCUGUCCCAACGUCCGGAACAUCCGUUCAUUGUGUGGACUGACCAAAAGUAUCUCCGCACCACCAAGCGCCUGAACUCCAGGCAAGCGAGAGGUGCCCUGCUGUUUUUCUGGUUCAAAUUGUCCCUCUCCUACCGGCCGGGGUCUGUUACACACGCCUCUAUGAAGAGGGAUUGCAACACCCUGCUACAACUCGACUCUCCGUGAAGUGAAGGAGUUAUGGACUGUAGGUGCGAGUAAGUAUGACAAAAGGCGGAGAAUUGUACCGUUUACAAUGAAUUUAUUCUGUCACACGGUAAUUUUUGGGAAAAGGGUCUGGAUGGAACCAAAGCAAAGAAAGUAAAUAUCAAAGCCCCCUCUCCUACCUUACCUGCCUACCCACUACUUACCUAACUUAACACCACCUAGUGCGCUAACCAAAAUACAGGUGGUGGUCCGCCCAGGUCUUAUCUAGUGUGCCUAGACAGUGAAUAUACUACGGGUAUAUGUAUGCCCGCAGGCCUCUUGCCUAAGCUCUCCCUAGGUGCCUUCCCCUUCUCCCCUGGGAACAAAUUAAACAGAAUUAUCCAAAUGUAAUUAAACCAUUUCAAGAAUCAAAAACACAGUUCUAUUAGCACACACAUACUUCAAAUCAGCGGCUACCAAAAUACAUAACAAAACCUAUCUCUGAGCCACAACCAAGACAGGACAUCAAUUCAGCUUUCUCUCAGCAACAACCACAGAACAUAACCAUCUCUGUUAGCAACAACCAACAUAAUGUCCCUCAGCCAUCAACCUCCUCUCUCAGCAAUGAUCUCACUUCUGAGCAACAGAACACUGACUUAUAUAGAUAGCUUCAGAAGGAAUUGGUAAUUGGAGACAGCUUUGUCCUGACGAGGGGGUGGGGUCAGCUCUCCAAUCAUCAAUGGGGCCGACCAAUUAGCUGCUUGGGGAGAAUUCAGGAAGCCAUCCUGAAACACACACCUCACAAACCACAACACAGAAACUGGGGAACGCAACAAGGUCUAAGAUCGUCAAGCCGGAUACCCUGUUUCGCCGCUAUAACCCCACGGUUACCACCCUGGAGCCCAAGACCAUCCUUUCCAACUCGUGCCUGGCGACAGCACUCAGCUGGGGUAUGGUGAAACAGGUACGGGAGAAUCAGCGGUCCCAGCAAAACCCUGGGGGGAUCCCGGAUAACCAGAUGUUUUUGACUGACGCUGUCCACGGUCAUGGAGUGGGCCCAUUCCUCCAGGCUUGCCAGUCACUCGGGCUCUCGUCGGACCCUGGCCUUCGUGCGACAAUGCUUUUGAUGGCCUACUAUGGUUCCAAAUUUUGCAGAGUUUGUCAUUGCCUGCACAGUCCUCGCACAGAACAAGACUCUGCAAGCUCUGGCUGGUCAUCUCAAACCACUGCCUGUCCCUCACUGUCCCUGGUCCCAUAUAUGCCUGGAUUUUGUCAUGGGUCUCCCCGUUUGAGGGCAACACUGCCAUCCUGACUGUGGUCGACCAGUUUUCCAAAGCCGCCCACUUCAUUCCUCUCUCCAAACUACCCUUGGCCAAGGAGACGGCCCAGUUUAUGGUACAGCACGUCUUCCGGAUCCAUCAAAUCCGGUUGGACAUGGUCUCCGACCGGGGUCCGCAGUUCUCGUCCCAGUUCUGGAAGGCGUUCUGUACUCUCAUUGGUUCGUUGGACAGCCUGUCCUCCGGAUUCUACCCCCAGUCCAACUGUCUAGUCGGAGCGAGCAAACCGGGACUUAGAGAUGACUCUUCGCUGCCUAGUCUCCGCCAACCGUACCACCUGGAGUCAGCAACUGGUAUGGGUUGAGUAUGCUCGCAACACCCUUCUUCUGCCAUGGGUCUCUUACCCUUUGAGUGUUCCUUGGGAUAUCAGCCUCCACUCUUCCCCAAGCAAGAGGAAGUCAGCAUUCCCUCGUCGCAGAUGUUCAUCCACCACUGUUGCCGUACCUGGAAGAGAGCCCGGGCCGCUCUGUUGAAGAUCACUUCCAGGCAUAGGCAACAAGUGUAUCGCCACCGAACCCCUGCUCCACGCUAUCGACUCGGGCAGAGGGUAUGGCUCUCCACCCAGGACCUGCCCCUCCGUUUGGAGUCGCGCACACUUUCCCCCCAUGUCAUCGGCCCGUUCCCCAUCUCUGGAGCCAUUAGCUCUUCUGCUGUUUGUCUUUGUUACCCCGUACCUUCCAUAUUCACCCUACUUUCCAUGUGUCUAGGAAAAGCCUGUGUCUCACAGCCCUUUGUCUUCUGUUUCCAGGCCCACACCUCCUCCCCGUGUCAUCAAUGGUCAUCCAGCUUACACAGUGAGGGGUUUCCAAUACCUGGUUGACUGGGAGGGAGGGUUAUGGCCUGGAGGAGAAGUGCUGGGUCCCCGCUAGAGACAUCCUGGACCCAGCCCUCAUGCCGACUUCCACCUCCGGCACCCUGGUCAACCAGGCCCACCCCUCCUCCCCGUGUCAUCGAUGGCCAUCCGGUGUACACGGUGAGAUGGCUCCUGAGAGUUUGACCCCGGUGCAGGGGUUUCGAGUGCCUGGUUGACUGGGAGGGUUAUGGUCCGGAGGAGAAGCUCUGGGUCCCCACUAGAGACAUCCUGGACCCAGCCCUCAUGCCGACUUCCACCGCAGGCACGCUGGUCAACCAGGUAUACAUCCAGGACCUGAGCCCUAGGACCAUGCCUCAGGACUACCUGGCAUGAUGACUCCUUGCUGUCCCCAGUCCACCUGGCCAUGCUACUGCUCCAGUUUCAACUGCACUGACUGCGGCUAUGGAAUCUUGACCUGUUCACCGGACGUGCUCCCUGUCCCAGACCUGCUGUUUUCAACUCUCUAGAGACAGCAAGAGCGGUAGAGAUACUCUUAAUGAUCGGCUAUGAAUAGCCAACUGACAUUUACUCCUGAGGUGCUGACUUGCUGCACCCUCGACAACUACUGUGAUUAUUAUUAUUUGACCAUGCUGGUCAUUUAUGAACAUUUGAACAUCUUGGCCAUGUUCUGUUAUAAUCUCCACCCGGCACAGCCAGAAGAGUACUGGCCACCCCUCAUAGCCUGGUUUCUUCCUAGGUUUUAGCCUUUCCAGGGAGUUUUUCCUUGCCACCGUGCUUCUACAGCUGCAUUGCUUGCUGUUUGGGGUUUUAGGCUGGGUUUCUGUACAGCACUUUGAGGUAUCAGCUGAUGUACGAAGGGCUAUAUAAAUACAUUUGAUUUUAUUUGAUUUGAAAAUAGCUGUGUAGCAAUGCUCCCUGUCUAACCUGACAGAGCUUGAGAGGCUCUGCAGAGAAGAAUGAGAGAAACUCCCCAAAUACAGCAAUUCCAGGUGAUAACCAAGAAGACUCAAGGCUAUAAUCACUGCCAAAGGUGCUCCAAGAAAGUACUGAGUAAAGAGUCUGAAUAUUUAUGUAAAUGUUAUGUUUUAUUUUUUAUAAAAAAUAUCUAAGCACC